Molecule: ribosomal RNA, 610 nt
Filed under: uncultured bacterium
Lineage: Bacteria
Description: bacterial SSU rRNA
Rfam family: Bacterial small subunit ribosomal RNA (bases 1-524)
Source: RNAcentral
CCUACGGGAGGCAGCAGUGGGGAAUAUUGCGCAAUGGGCGAAAGCCUGACGCAGCGACGCAGCGUGAGGGAUGAAGGCCUUCGGGUUGUAAACCUCUUUCAGCGGGGACGAAGCGAAAGUGACGGUACCCGCAGAAGAAGCACCGGCUAACUACGUGCCAGCAGCCGCGGUAAUACGUAGGGUGCAAGCAUUGUCCGGAUUUAUUGGGUCGUAAAGAGCUCGUAGGCGGCUUGUCACGUCGGGUGUGAAAACUUGGGGCUCAACCCCAAGCCUGCACUCGAUACGGGCUAGCUAGAGUGUUGCAGGGGAGACUGGAAUUCCUGGUGUAGCGGUGAAAUGCGCAGAUAUCAGGAGGAACACCGGUGGCGAAGGCGGGUCUCUGGGCAACUACUGACGCUGAGGAGCGAAAGCGUGGGGAGCGAACAGGAUUAGAUACCCUGGUAGUCCACGCCGUAAACGGUGGGCGCUAGGUGUGGGGAACCUUCCACGUUCUCUGUGCCGCAGCUACGCAUAAGCGCCCCGCCGUCGGGAGGUACGGCCGCGACGACGUAAACCUACGAAGAAGUUAGACGGCGNGAGACGUGCCGACGACGACGACGAGGGAGGUAGG